Molecule: transfer RNA, 61 nt
Filed under: Ictidomys tridecemlineatus (thirteen-lined ground squirrel)
Lineage: Eukaryota; Metazoa; Chordata; Mammalia; Rodentia; Sciuridae
Description: Spermophilus tridecemlineatus (thirteen-lined ground squirrel) tRNA
Rfam family: tRNA
About the family: Transfer RNA (tRNA) molecules are approximately 80 nucleotides in length. Their secondary structure includes four short double-helical elements and three loops (D, anti-codon, and T loops).
Source: Rfam by way of RNAcentral
UGUAUCUUAGUGGUAAAGUGUUUGCCUUGAAAGCAGAAGGCACUGGGUUCAAUCCUCAGCA